UUGCAGAGGCGGCAGCUAUAAUGCAGUCGAGCGACAGACAAGGAGCUUGCUCCUUUGACGUUAGCGGCGGACGGGUGAGUAACACGUGGGUAACCUACCUAUAAGACUGGGAUAACUUCGGGAAACCGGAGCUAAUACCGGAUAAUAUUUCGAACCGCAUGGUUCGAUAGUGAAAGAUGGUUUUGCUAUCACUUAUAGAUGGACCCGCGCCGUAUUAGCUAGUUGGUAAGGUAACGGCUUACCAAGGCGACGAUACGUAGCCGACCUGAGAGGGUGAUCGGCCACACUGGAACUGAGACACGGUCCAGACUCCUACGGGAGGCAGCAGUAGGGAAUCUUCCGCAAUGGGCGAAAGCCUGACGGAGCAACGCCGCGUGAGUGAUGAAGGUCUUCGGAUCGUAAAACUCUGUUAUUAGGGAAGAACAUACGUGUAAGUAACUAUGCACGUCUUGACGGUACCUAAUCAGAAAGCCACGGCUAACUACGUGCCAGCAGCCGCGGUAAUACGUAGGUGGCAAGCGUUAUCCGGAAUUAUUGGGCGUAAAGCGCGCGUAGGCGGUUUUUUAAGUCUGAUGUGAAAGCCCACGGCUCAACCGUGGAGGGUCAUUGGAAACUGUAAAACUUGAGUGCAGAAGAGGAAAGUGGAAUUCCAUGUGUAGCGGUGAAAUGCGCAGAGAUAUGGAGGAACACCAGUGGCGAAGGCGACUUUCUGGUCUGUAACUGACGCUGAUGUGCGAAAGCGUGGGGAUCAAACAGGAUUAGAUACCCUGGUAGUCCACGCCGUAAACGAUGAGUGCUAAGUGUUAGGGGGUUUCCGCCCCUUAGUGCUGCAGCUAACGCAUUAAGCACUCCGCCUGGGGAGUACGACCGCAAGGUUGAAACUCAAAGGAAUUGACGGGGACCCGCACAAGCGGUGGAGCAUGUGUUUAAUUCGAAGCACGCGAAGAACCUUACCAAAUCUGACAUCCUUUGACAACUCUAGAGAUAAGAGCUUCCCCUUCGGGACAAAGUGACAGGUGGUGCAUGCUUGUCGUCAGCUCGUGUCUGAAAUGUGAUAAGUCCCGCACGAGCCCACCCUAGCUAGUGCCAUCAUAGUGCACUCUAAGUGACCUGCCGGUGACACGGAGAGUGGAUGACCUCAUAUCUCAUGGCCUUAGAUUGGGCUAAACGUUCUAAUGCAUACAAGGACCGAAUCCGAGUCAGCAAUCUCCUAG
This 1214-nucleotide ribosomal RNA is filed under the name Staphylococcus haemolyticus. RNAcentral's name for it is "bacterial SSU rRNA". It matches the Rfam family "Bacterial small subunit ribosomal RNA", at positions 33 to 1267 of the family's 1533-position model. Lineage: Bacteria; Bacillati; Bacillota; Bacilli; Caryophanales; Staphylococcaceae. The record is from RNAcentral.